Molecule: RNA transcript, 1960 nt
Organism: Cucurbita maxima (winter squash)
Lineage: Eukaryota; Viridiplantae; Streptophyta; Magnoliopsida; Cucurbitales; Cucurbitaceae
Gene name: probable 26S proteasome non-ATPase regulatory subunit 3
Exons: 10
Source: RefSeq, a predicted model, not a curated record
AAAAGAAAAAUGGUAUGGUUUGCUUCUUGCUCACGAGGCAACGUGAAGAAACCCUUGGUGCCAUCUCCAGUCGCUUUAUACAGCAAAAUCUCCGGCUUUCUCUGAAUUCGAGAAUUUGCGAAGAUGACGCAAGACGCUGAGAUGAAGGAACUUCCUCCUCCCAUUUCUUCUUCUGCUGCUCUAACUUCUCCUUCAACGUUACAACAUUUGAAAGAGAUUGUGUCGCUUCUUGAAACCGGUGCGUAUGCACGGGAAGUCCGGCGAAUCGUUCGAGCUAUUCGUCUGACUAUGGCGUUGAGGCAGAAAUUGAAGGCGUCUGUUCUUUCUCCAUUCCUGAAUUUUGCUCUCCCGCCAGGAUCCGAUGUGCACACAAGGUUAUCGUCAUUUAUUCCGAAGGAGGAUGACUACGAAAUGGAUGUUGACUCGGAAACAAAGGCAUUAACUCAGGCACCUGUAAAACAUCCCUUACCUGAGAUAGAGAUUUUCUGCUAUUUGCUUUUGCUAGUAUUUCUGAUUGAUCAGAAGAAAUAUGGCGAGGCUAAGGCUUGUGCUUCAGCUAGCAUUGCCCGAUUGAAGAACUUGAAUAGAAGAACGGUUGAUGUGCUAUCAUCUAGGCUUUACUUUUAUUACUCGCUUAGCUACGAACUCACUGGUGAUCUUGCUGAAAUAAGAGGUAACCUCCUGGCUCUGCAUCGCAUUGCUACUUUACGCCAUGAUGAAUUGGGUCAGGAAACCCUCCUCAACCUACUACUUCGAAAUUACCUCUAUUACAAUCUUUAUGAUCAAGCAGAGAAGUUGAGGUCCAAGGCACCCCGAUUUGAAGCUCACUCAAACCAGCAGUUCUGUAGGUACCUAUUUUACCUAGGCAAGAUCAGGACCAUUCAGCUGGAAUAUACAGAUGCGAAGGAGUCUCUUCUACAAGCCGCUCGAAAAGCACCUAUUGCAGCGCUUGGUUUUCGAGUACAAUGCAACAAAUGGGCAAUCAUUGUUCGCUUAUUGUUAGGAGAAAUCCCUGAGAGGACUGUUUUCAUGCAGAAAGGCAUGGAGACAGCUCUGAGGCCAUACUUUGAACUUACAAAUGCUGUGAGAAUUGGCGACUUGGAGCUUUUCAGAACGGUUGCUGAGAAGUUCUCUAGUACUUUCAGCUCAGAUCGGACCAACAAUUUGAUCGUGAGGCUACGACAUAAUGUAAUUAGAACUGGGCUGCGCAACAUUAGCAUAUCAUAUUCGCGCAUUUCUCUGGCUGAUAUUGCUAAAAAGCUGAGACUGGACUCUGAAAAUCCUAUUGCUGAUGCCGAGAGUAUCGUCUCAAAGGCAAUCCGAGAUGGAGCAAUUGAUGCCACAGUUGAUCACGCGAAGGGAUGGAUGGUAUCCAAGGAGACUGGAGAUAUCUACUCUACCAAUGAGCCUCAAAUUGCCUUCAACUCAAGGAUUGCAUUCUGCCUGAAUAUGCACAAUGAGGCAGUUCGUGCUCUCAGGUUCCCACCAAACUCCCACAAAGAAAAGGAAAGUGCUGAGAAAAGGAGAGAAAGACAGCAGCAGGAGCAAGAACUUGCUAAGCAUAUAGCCGAAGAAGACGAUGACGACUUUUAAUUGAUUCAGUGUGAGACUCAGCUCAAUUCGAGUCAUGGGAGCCAAUCAGCUGUACAAUUUCAUCCAGGCACAGCAGUAAAGUAACGGUGGCUGAUGGCCUUUUUGAUCUCAUUCGUAUUAGAUGACCGUAGACACAGCAGUAAAGUAACGGUAGCUAUCGAUGGCUUCGACACGGUAUUGAAGUUUCAGUUCUACACGUUAGUGGUUUUUUGGUUGAUCACUCAAAUGGCUGAACUGAAGCCAAACGUCUUGAAAUGGUGCUCAUACUCGUAAUUUUCUUACCUGCCACAAGAAAUAUACAACAUAGCCACGUUCGAGAAAUAUAGAUUUGAAUUCAUAUCCAUUGAUUAUUAUGAAACUGUUAAAA